RNAcentral lists this ribosomal RNA (795 nucleotides) under uncultured bacterium. RNAcentral's name for it is "bacterial SSU rRNA". It matches the Rfam family "Bacterial small subunit ribosomal RNA", at positions 588 to 1379 of the family's 1533-position model. The record is from RNAcentral.
UCAGAUGUGAAAGCCCAAGGCUCAGCCUUGGAACUGCAUUUGAUACUGGCAAACUAGAGUAUGGUACAGGAAUGGGGAAUUUCUGGUGUAAGCGGUGAAAUGCGUAGAGAUCAGAAGGAACACCAAUGGCGAAGGCAACAUUCUGGACCAAUACUGACACUGAGGGACGAAAGCGUGGGGAUCAAACAGGAUUAGAUACCCUGGUAGUCCACGCUGUAAACGAUGAGUACUAGCUGUUGGAUUCGGUGUAAAGGAUCUAGUGGCGUAGCUAACGCGUUAAGUACUCCGCCUGGGGACUACGGCCGCAAGGCUAAAACUCAAAGGAAUUGACGGGGACCCGCACAAGCGGUGGAGCAUGUGGUUUAAUUCGAUGCAACGCGAAGAACCUUACCUGGUCUUGACAUCCUGCGAACUUUCUAGAGAUAGAUUGGUGCCUUCGGGAACGCAGUGACAGGUGCUGCACGGCUGUCGUCAGCUCGUGUUGUGAAAUGUUGGGUUAAGUCCCGCAACGAGCGCAACCCCUAUUGAUAGUUACCAUCAUUAAGUUGGGUACUCUAUUGAGACUGCCGCUGACAAGGCGGAGGAAGGUGGGGACGACGUCAAGUCAUCAUGGCCCUUACGACCAGGGCUACACACGUGCUACAAUGGGUAUUACAGAGGGCAGCGAAGUAGCGAUAUGGAGCGAAACUCAGAAAGGUACUCUUAGUCCGGAUUGCAGUCUGCAACUCGACUGCAUGAAGUCGGAAUCGCUAAGUAAUCGCAAAAGGGAAUACUGCGGUGAAUACGUUCCCGGGU